CUGGCCCUCGGUCUCCUGGCCUGUAGAAUAGGGAUGCUAACAGGGCCUGGCUCAUUCUCACGAUCCCGAAGAGGAGAUAGGCUAUAAACAGGAGGUGCCAACUCAGCACGCUGCUUGGCAUGCAGCGCCACGCAUCCUCGACACAGCCGCCAUGGCAGGCCUUCGGGCUCCGUCUCCGGGACAGGCGGUGCAGGGCAAAUUGGUAUGCAGCGUCCGCCCCGUGGGCCCGGGAGAGCCUGCCCCGCAGGGCCAGAGCCCAAGGACGGGCUCAACACUCAGUCAAGGUGGGGUUGACGACGGCCAGACAACAGGGGAGGGAGGAGGGACAAGGGGGUCCCCACUUCCAGGGACGCACAAUAGCAGAGCCACUUACACGCUGGGGAGGGGGCGGUGCGGGGGUCCUCCUCCCGCCCGGGAUUCAGAGUCGGGGGUGGGGGCCAGCCGGGCGGGUGAGAUGCGCAGAGAGGAAGGGACAGGGCGGAUAAAGGCACGAGGUGGGGCUCCGGCCAGGCCAGGAAGGGACAUGGGAAGGGUCUCGAGGGGGAGGGGCUGGGCUUCUCCCAACUCCCUCCCCCUCUCCCCCGGGCUGGGGGCUCCGGGGCGGGAUCCUGAGCGCAGUCCUGGCCCUGCGGCGCCCCCCGCCGGGCCGGCCCUCUGAGACCCCGCGCAGGGCCGGCUAGGGGGCGCCGCGCCCCUCACACCAACGCGUAGUCGAACUGCCCGCGCUCGAGCGCCUCCUUGUGGUCGGUCCAGGACGAGGCGGGCAUGCGGCUGUAGGGGUCGAGCAGGAUGCGCACGCAGCGCACCAUCAACAGCACCAGCACCACGAGCAGGCAGAGCACGAAGGCGAACACCGUGCGCUGCUCCGCGUCCAGGCCCGCGCCCACCGGGGGCCCCGUCGACGGCGGCAGGGGCUCCGGCGACAGCGUCCACGUCGCGCUCAUGGCUCACAUCGCCGC
This 959-nucleotide long non-coding RNA is filed under the name Pan troglodytes (chimpanzee). RNAcentral's name for it is "long non-coding RNA NONPTRT007948". Lineage: Eukaryota; Metazoa; Chordata; Mammalia; Primates; Hominidae. The record is from RNAcentral.